RNAcentral lists this transfer RNA (69 nucleotides) under Parborlasia corrugatus (corrugated ribbon worm). Its description in RNAcentral is "tRNA-Thr". Lineage: Eukaryota; Metazoa; Nemertea; Pilidiophora; Heteronemertea; Lineidae. The record is from RNAcentral.
GUAACUAAAGCUUUUAUUGUCCUAAGCAUCAGCCUUGUAAGCUGAAAGAAGAAGAUUAUUCUAGUUACU